CCUACGGGAGGCAGCAGUGAGGAAUAUUGGUCAAUGGGCGGGAGCCUGAACCAGCCAAGUCGCGUGAUGGAUGACGGCCCUAUGGGUUGUAAACCUCUUUUGCCGGGGAGCAAAGUGCCGCACGUGUGCGGUUUGGAGAGUACCCGGAGAAAAAGCAUCGGCUAACUCCGUGCCAGCAGCCGCGGUAAUACGGAGGAUGCGAGCGUUAUCCGGAUUUAUUGGGUUUAAAGGGAGCGUAGAUGGGUUGUUAAGUCAGUUGUGAAAGUUUGCGGCUCAACCGUAAAAUUGCAAUUGAUACUGGCAGUCUUGAGUACAGUUGAGGUAGGCGGAAUUCGUGGUGUAGCGGUGAAAUGCUUAGAUAUCACGAAGAACUCCGAUUGCGAAGGCAGCUUACUAAACUGCCACUGACAUUGAUGCUCGAAAGUGUGGGUAUCAAACAGGAUUAGAUACCCCGGUAGUC
RNAcentral lists this ribosomal RNA (460 nucleotides) under uncultured bacterium. Its description in RNAcentral is "partial 16S ribosomal RNA". It matches the Rfam family "Bacterial small subunit ribosomal RNA", at positions 338 to 795 of the family's 1533-position model. The record is from RNAcentral.